AGUUAAUUAGCUUAAUCAAAGCAUAUAUUUUGAAAAUAUAAAAUUAAGAAUUGUAUCUUAAUUAACUU
RNAcentral lists this transfer RNA (68 nucleotides) under Cantacader sp. RNAcentral's name for it is "tRNA-Ser". The record is from RNAcentral. Lineage: Eukaryota; Metazoa; Arthropoda; Insecta; Hemiptera; Tingidae.